This 498-nucleotide ribosomal RNA is filed under the name Globigerinita glutinata. Its description in RNAcentral is "SSU rRNA". It matches the Rfam family "Eukaryotic small subunit ribosomal RNA", at positions 1214 to 1539 of the family's 1831-position model. The record is from RNAcentral. Lineage: Eukaryota; Foraminifera; Rotaliida; Globigerinitidae.
CUUACCGGGUCCGGACACACUGAGGAUUGACAGGUAUUAUAUAGCGCGCUUGCGCGUCUAUUGUUAAAUAUGCUAGUCCUUUCAUGAUUAUGUGAUAGGUGGUGCAUGGCCGUUCUUAGUUCGUGGAGUGAUCUGUCUGCUUAAUUGCGUUUCAGAUAAGGAUCUAUAUUCUUUACAGAAGUGUUGCGUUGUGCAUUUGACCCCUCGUUCGCGAGUGCGUGUCUUUUCGCGCUCGCACGCUUUUUACAUUAGGUCCUGAAAGCAACGAACGUGACCGCAACCUCUUGUUGCCUCAUCUCCCUACUUUUUAGCACUUCGGUGUUAAUAAUUUCAUUGAGGCUUUCCAAAACUAGAGGGACCGCUGUCAACUUCUUAAACCAGAGGAAGGUUGCGGCAAUAACAGGUCUGUGAUGCCCUUAGAUGUUCCGGGCUGCACACGUGCUACAAUGAUUGUUGCAGUGAGCAUCUCAAUUUUUUACCUAACACCGCACACGUGAG